AGUCGAACGGUAACCAUCCUUCGGGAUGGCUAGAGUGGCGAACGGGUGAGUGACACGUAGGUGAUCUGCCCUUGAGUUGGGGAUAGCCCAUGGAAACAUGGGGUAAUACCGAAUACGCUCGCGACCCUGUGGGGAUGUGAGGAAAAGCGCUUCGGCGCUGCUCGAGGAUGAGCCUGCGGCUGAUUAGUUAGUUGGUGGGGUAACGGCCUACCAAGGCGACGAUCAGUAGCCGGCCUGAGAGGGUGAGCGGCCACACUGGGACUGAGAUACGGCCCAGACUCCUACGGGAGGCAGCAGCUAAGAAUCUUCUACAAUGGACGAAAGUCUGAUAGAGCGACGCCGCGUGGGUGAUGAAGGCCGGAAGGUUGUAAAGCCCUUUUCUAUUCGAGGAAUAAGGUGUGGAGGCAAUGCCACACUGAUGACGGUAGGGUAGGAAUAAGCCCCGGCCAAUUACGUGCCAGCAGCCGCGGUAACACGUAUGGGGCGAGCGUUGUUCGGAAUCAUUGGGCGUAAAGGGCGCGUAGGCGGAUAUGCAAGCUUGGUGUGAAAGACCGCAGCUCAACUGCGGGAGCGCGCUGAGAACUGCAUAUCUUGAGUUCAAGAGGGGAAGCUGGAAUUCCAGGUGUAGGGGUGAAAUCUGUAGAUAUCUGGAAGAACAUCAGUGGCGAAGGCGAGCUUCUGGCUUUGAACUGACGCUGAGGCGCGAAAGCGUGGGGAGCGAACAGGAUUAGAUACCCUGGUAGUCCACGCUGUAAACGAUGUGCACUAGGUGUUGGGCCGUUGAAGGCUCAGUGCCGUAGCUAACGCGUUAAGUGCACCGCCUGGGGAGUAUGCUCGCAAGAGUGAAACUCCAAGGAAUUGACGGUGGCCCGCACAAGCGGUGGAGCAUGUGGUUUAAUUCGAUGAUACGCGAGGAACCUUACCAGGGCUUGACAUAUACAGGAAUGCGCAUGAGAGUGCGCAGCCCUUCGGGGUCUGUAUAC
RNAcentral lists this ribosomal RNA (983 nucleotides) under uncultured organism. Its description in RNAcentral is "bacterial SSU rRNA". It matches the Rfam family "Bacterial small subunit ribosomal RNA", at positions 60 to 1035 of the family's 1533-position model. The record is from RNAcentral.